AAGUCGUACGAGAAUCGUAGCAAUACGAGGAAAGUGGCGAAAGGGAGAGGAUUACGUGGGAAUCUACCCUCAGACCUGGGAUAGCGGCGGGAAACUGCCGGUAAUACCAGAUAAUGUCUUUGGACCAAAGGUGUGAUUCCGUCUGGGGAUGAGCCCACGUCCUAUUAGCUUGUUGGUGGGGUAAUGGCCUACCAAGGCAAUGAUGGGUAGCGGGUGUGAGAGCACGACCCGCCUCACUGGGACUGAGAUACUGCCCAGACACCUACGGGUGGCUGCAGUCGAGAAUCUUCGGCAAUGGGCGAAAGCCUGACCGAGCGACGCCGCGUGCGGGAUUGAAGGCCUUCGGGUUGUAAACCGCUGUCGUAGGGGAGCAAGAGAAGAGGGUUCUCCCUCUAAUUUGAGCGAUCCUAGGAGGAAGGACGGGCUAAGUUCGUGCCAGCAGCCGCGGUAAGACGAACCGUCCGAACGUUAUUCGGUAUCACUGGGCUUAAAGAGUUCGUAGGCGGCUCCGUAGGUGAGGUGUGAAAUCCCUCGGCUCAACCGAGGAAUUGCGCUUCAAACCGUGGAGCUAGAGGAAGAUAGGGGUGAGCGGAACAGAUGGUGGAGCGGUGAAAUGCGUUGAUAUCAUCUG
RNAcentral lists this ribosomal RNA (631 nucleotides) under uncultured Pirellula sp. RNAcentral's name for it is "bacterial SSU rRNA". It matches the Rfam family "Bacterial small subunit ribosomal RNA", at positions 59 to 703 of the family's 1533-position model. Lineage: Bacteria; Pseudomonadati; Planctomycetota; Planctomycetia; Pirellulales; Pirellulaceae. The record is from RNAcentral.